Molecule: long non-coding RNA, 206 nt
Filed under: Elaeis guineensis (African oil palm)
Lineage: Eukaryota; Viridiplantae; Streptophyta; Magnoliopsida; Arecales; Arecaceae
Description: long non-coding RNA (EGUI_LNC070651)
Source: RNAcentral
AUGGGACAUUGGAUUGAUGAUUAGGUCUAGGUGGUUGGUGGAUGGGUGGGUCAUUUUUAAAAUUCAAUAUUGGUUGGCUCGAUAAUUGACCUAGUUCUCUCUUCAUGGAAGACUCAACUAACUGGUCUAUUUGUGCUUCUAACCUAGCGAGGGAUUGCUGUUGGAUCAUAAUCAUUUGUUGGAGUUGAUUGAAUCUAUCUUUGGCU